UACAGGCAUGAGCCACCACACCCAGCUUCAAUGUGAUGCUUGAAACAUAUUUAUUCUAUUCUCCUGAUGCUAUGACAGGAGAGAAAUUGUAUUAUUACUUCUACUACCUGGGGAAAAAUAGCUGAUUAGCUAGUUUUGACUUUAAGACUAUUCUCAAAUCAUUCUCCUAGAACAUUUCUUCGCCUUAUUUUCAGUGACAGAGAAAUAACACCAUCACAUGCUUUCCAUUAUCGUUAAUGACUCUUCUGAUGAUUUGAUGCCUGAUGCCUUUAAUUUUUAUUUUCAAAAAGACAUCUACUACUGACACUAAGCCUCUUUGUUGUUCACUAUAAAUUUCCUUUGAGACAUGUGUUUUUGUUUAAAGAGGCAUAAAUAAAUAAUCAAUAAAUCAAAGUUCAUAGUACAGUUAAAGUGGACUGAAGUCAAAUUACCUUUAUGCUUCCAACAGAGCAAUAUAAUAAGUGAAUAUAGAAUAUUUACUGUAUAAUGCCAUAUCAAUAAUUAAAAACCUGUUUAAGAAUAAAAAAUAUAAAAUGGA
Molecule: long non-coding RNA, 538 nt
Organism: Cebus imitator (Panamanian white-faced capuchin)
Lineage: Eukaryota; Metazoa; Chordata; Mammalia; Primates; Cebidae
Exons: 2
Source: RefSeq, a predicted model, not a curated record